RNAcentral lists this ribosomal RNA (469 nucleotides) under Lactobacillus crispatus. Its description in RNAcentral is "bacterial SSU rRNA". It matches the Rfam family "Bacterial small subunit ribosomal RNA", at positions 200 to 656 of the family's 1533-position model. The record is from RNAcentral. Lineage: Bacteria; Bacillati; Bacillota; Bacilli; Lactobacillales; Lactobacillaceae.
UUUAAAGGAGGCGUAAGCUAUCGCUAUUGGAUGGACCCGCGGUGCAUUAGCUAGUUGGUAAGGUAACGGCUUACCAAGGCUAUGAUGCAUAGCCGAGUUGAGAGACUGAUCGGCCACAUUGGGACUGAGACACGGCCCAAACUCCUACGGGAGGCAGCAGUAGGGAAUCUUCCACAAUGGACGCAAGUCUGAUGGAGCAACGCCGCGUGAGUGAAGAAGGGUUUCGGCUCGUAAAGCUCUGUUGUUAGUGAAGAAGGAUAGAGGUAGUAACUGGCCUUUAUUUGACGGUAAUCAACCAGAAAGUCACGGCUAACUACGUGCCAGCAGCCGCGGUAAUACGUAGGUGGCAAGCGUUGUCCGGAUUUAUUGGGCGUAAAGCGAGCGCAGGCGGUUCAAUAAGUCUGAUGUGAAAGCCCUCGGCUCAACCGAGGAAUUGCAUCGGAAACUGUUUAUCUUGAGUGCAGAAGAG